This 72-nucleotide transfer RNA is filed under the name Camelus bactrianus (Bactrian camel). It matches the Rfam family "tRNA". From Rfam's summary of the family: Transfer RNA (tRNA) molecules are approximately 80 nucleotides in length. Their secondary structure includes four short double-helical elements and three loops (D, anti-codon, and T loops). RNAcentral also lists the same sequence under 2 other names. The record is from Rfam by way of RNAcentral. Lineage: Eukaryota; Metazoa; Chordata; Mammalia; Artiodactyla; Camelidae.
UUAUGUAUAGCUCAGUGGUAGAGCUCAUGCUUAGCAUGCACAAGGUCCUGGGUUCAAUCCCCAGUACAGUAC